RNAcentral lists this long non-coding RNA (331 nucleotides) under Helianthus annuus (common sunflower). RNAcentral describes it as "hypothetical non coding rna". The record is from RNAcentral. Lineage: Eukaryota; Viridiplantae; Streptophyta; Magnoliopsida; Asterales; Asteraceae.
GUUUUACAUCAUUAAAAUUAAAUUUUAAGCUUAUAUGUUUUUUGUUUCGAUUCAUAGGAAAUACCGUAUGAUUUUGCAAGCUUAUUGUGGGAAGGAAAAGUUCCAUAUGGUCAAUGUCUUGAACUUAUUGAUGAUGACUUAUGCAACUGCAUGAGUCUGAAUCUUUUUCGAACACAAGAGAAUUGAUGGAGUGAUAUAAGAAGGUUUCUUUGUUAAUUGAUUAUUCUCUUCCGCUUACAGGGGAUAGCGCUAAGGUAAUUAACAUCAAAAUUCAAUAUUUCUAUUACUUGAAUUCUCUUGCUUUAUAAUUUCUUUCAAUGUAUUAUUUUGU